GAGAGAAGUGGGUGAGGGUCCCUGCCUCAGGACGAGGUGGGGAGAAGGAGCACGUUUGUUCGCACGCUUGCCCUGCUGUGCCGCGGGAGUGCGGGGUCUCCCAAAACUCGCUGGGUCAAGUCGCGGCCUGCGCUGCCAUGCUGGCACCCGAGCGCGAGGCACGCGCUCCUUCCCAAAAUGCUGACGCCCGCUGGGCCCUUUCCAGGGCAGGUUAGCAGAGUCACGGGGGACGCCCUGCACUGCCGUGGUGGCUGCUGUCUUCCAAGCAAGAACAACAGCCCGGGGUGGCCACCGACAGCGCGGCUUCUCAGUGUGCCCAGGCAAAGUUCCCCCCCCUCGUGGAUUGCUCUUGGAGGACAUGAACCCCUGAAACCAAGACCUUGUUCAUAUCCACCUCGCUGUUUAAGUAUUCUUAAAAGUGCUACCACACCAAAACAAUCCCGCAAGUGGUCAUCAAAAAUAACAAAAUUAAGCAAGGAAAACAACUUAUUUUUCUGCAUCUCCGAAGGAACAAAGGAACUGACCGAAUCUUCCUGAAAAACCCAAGUACUUUGUUCAAACAGUUAGCUCUUGCAAUUGUAUGUGAUGGUUUAAUAAAAUGUCACCUCUCCUUACAAGCUUCACUUCUCUGUAGUAGUAAACACUAAAAAUGCAUCAGCCUGCUUUAAAAAAAAAAAAAGGAAAAAAAACAGCAACAAAACAAGCUUUGUUACAGGACAACAAAGCUAAGGCUGAAUCCUGCUCUUGCCUUCGACUUGACGCUAGUAGCACGGUGGGGUUUCCUAAAAGAUCUCCGGGCCGUGCUUCUCCCUCCUCGCCCUCUGACUGGCGGCGGGGCUGACGAGCACUUUGUGGCAGCAGGUUUUCCAGCGUGCUGCUGCUGCUGCCGCCGACUCCAUUUUUCAGAUGCUAUCUUUUGUGCGUGUGCGGUUCAGGUCGUGCUAACUUCCAACAUCACCUCAUCCUGUGCAGUAAAACCUAGGAAAUUCUUCUUCGUAAUUGUGCUGCAGAAAGCUAGACAGCUCACUUCCAGCAGCAGAGGAAAUCCACCAAAGGAAAUAUUGCACUGCAGAAGGGGAUGUGGAACAAACACGUCUGCUGAGGCUGUUCCAGGCAGCAUUUGUAAUACUUCAGCCUUUAUGCCGAAAACAUUUCAGUGUGCCUUCAGAAAAGAGUAAACGGAUGGGUCGGAACAAAAUGAUAUGAAAAUAAAAACGCCGCGAUUUCCUUAAAUUAGACUAAAUGAUUUCCUACUGCGGCCCUAUAAUGGGUUUUUAGAAACUGCAGCAGACAUUUGAGGGCAAGGCAUGCAAAACCGCAUCAGCCUGAGGGAUCCCCCUGAGGGUCGUGUGAAUAUGGAUUGCAAAUUCUGGGUUGAAAUGGGAAAGGCUCCCACUAACUUUGAUAAAAUUUGGAUCGGGCCCUAAGGUACUUACGGAGGCAUGCCUUUUAUUUGGAGUUCGCUUAAAUUCACAUUACAUCUGUGUGUAUGUACGUGCCUGGAAACAAGGAAAUCCUUCUUAAAAUAAAUUUCAGCAUAAAAACAAUUGCCUUUUAUUCAGUUCUAAUUCGAGCCAUUAGCUAGAAGUUGUGUUUUAAUACCGCCUCAUUUUAAGCCAUAAAAGCCCUAUCAUAAAACUUAGCUUCACUUUUAGAAAUGCUGCGUAAGCAAUAAUUUUACAUCCACAAUCUCCAUAUUGAAAACAUUCCUUAAAACUGAGCCUAUCUAGGAUGCUGGUUUCCCAUUUGAGAAGUGGACCAGGAGCAAGCGAAUGAAGUACUGUGUCGCCCGCUGUACGUAGCUGCAUUCUGCUUUCAAACAGCUUGGGAGCAGUCUUUUAGCUUUCUUGGACAAAUGCUUUUUGUUAAAACAGUUUAUCUAAAAAAAAAAUAAUCUUUACCUAAUUCCAGUCCUUCGUUCAAAAACAUAAACACACAGCUGCUGUAUGGGCCAAAAUAAGGUUGGGGGGAGAUUUCAAAUCAGUAAUAAAGUUAUUUGCAGUGCUGGAUUAUACACAGAGAUAACACAAACAACUAGUGUAUUAAAUCAAUUUCUGUAUUAAAACUGUUUUUUUCUCUUCCUUAAAAAAAAUCACAUGCUUUAACAGUAAUGCAGUAAAACGCAUUCUGGCAUAAUUUGUGAGUAAAAGAAAGAAAGAAAAAAAAAGAUACCAGAUUUAAUAUAUAUGGUAAUACAAAUUCCCCAUCUAACUCAGGUUAAAAGAUUUUUAAGUGGCUCUCCUGAAGAAGUUUAUGUACUUUUCCAAAACACUACUUUGUAGUAAGAUUUACCUGAAAAUAGCGUUACGGACAAAAUAACUCCUAUGCACUUUUUAAAAGGUUCUCUUAUGGAAGUUACUAAGUGCAGAGAUAAAAUGCCGUAUAAUACCACAGUAUUAACACCAUAUGACAUCUAAAUUCAAGGUUGAAUUGUAUUCUUGUUAGGCAAAGUUUCAACACUGAAUGGAAAUGAAGACUGGAACAAAGCUAUUCCUGAUUAAAGGAUUGUAUUGCAGUCAUGUUUCCUGUAUUUUUCUACAAGUAGCUCAUAAUAUGAAAACAAUAAGGUAAUUACAAUAAAAUAUUAAAAAAAGCUCCUCUUGGAACAGAAUGACUGCUUGUUUAUAUUAUUCAAGUCUUUCACUGAAACCAGAGAUGCAUCUGUCAGGC
Molecule: long non-coding RNA, 2670 nt
Organism: Cygnus olor (mute swan)
Lineage: Eukaryota; Metazoa; Chordata; Aves; Anseriformes; Anatidae
Exons: 2
Source: RefSeq, a predicted model, not a curated record